Thunnus maccoyii (southern bluefin tuna) is the source of this 431-nucleotide long non-coding RNA. RefSeq lists it as uncharacterized. The record is from RefSeq and is a predicted model, not a curated record. NCBI's taxonomy places the organism in Eukaryota, Metazoa, Chordata, Actinopteri, Scombriformes, Scombridae. The transcript has 3 exons.
UUCAGCUGUGUAGUGAUCUACUGUGAACGCCCGACGUCUGAGUACAGACAGAGAUAUUGGCCUACAAGUGAGGGGCACCACUUGUUAAAGACAACGGGCGGGAGAAGCCACAAAUUCCACCACCUUUUGGCUUUGGACUCAGUGGAUGGUCAUUUCCUGUUGACAUACAUCGUCACUACCAGUGAUUAGCUGUUGCGGAAAUCUCUGCGUGUCUGUUUGUCCUUAAACACAUAUGCUUUCCAAGGAGGAGAACAUGCGUCCUUGUUUGGCAAACAUUGCUCGGACGGUGACGUCGUGUCCCCGGCCAAAAAUGGUUCCCGGUCGGACUCCAAAAACAGCAACAUGCGCAUGAAACUCAAAUCAUGAAACUCAAGUCAAAUGGAUGUAGUAGUUGGAUGUUUGAGCUUCACUCUGCAGAAUGACGUAUGUGC